AUAGACCAUCAUAAAGACGCACAGGAAAAAAUGACUUCACUGACCUCUAAGGGGAAUAUUGGGCAGCAGGAAGUGACGUCACAGACUUGGAAGAGGAGUAUGGAACUGUGAGGAACAGGGAGUGGCCAGCACAGAGGUGAACCCUCGGUCUGACUCAUGGAGUGCCAUAUACUGUUACAAGAAAGCAAACAGGCCCUUCGAGGGCCGUGUGCUAUGCAGACUCAAGAUCAGGUUUAGGUUUUAUUUUAUACGCUACUGAAUUCGGUCAAGAUAGCUUAAGCUGUAAGCUCUGUGUCCAACAGUGGUGACAGGUUUUCGUAGCAUGCCGCUCCUCAAAUAAGCAUCCAGGGUAUCAUCACAGCACUUGAAGCUGCUUGUAAUGGGAGCUCCUCCCAGCCACUUGAAAACAGAAGAACAGCCGACCCUGCAGAGAAGGCUACCUACACCUGUCCACACUCCCACCUUUCAUCUAAAUCUGGAAUCCGGGAACCAGCAGGUGGUUUGGUGUCAUAAUUAGAUGGGGUCCCUCACCCACUUCUUGGAAAGCAGGCAAAGGUGUGGACAGCAACUCACAGAGCGGACAGGCAGGAAGAAUGAGUAGGUGGAGAACAGCUCAGCCACGGGAAGGAAGCCCUGCUUGGCGGUGCAGAUCUGGACGGUGCAUGGCCGCGUGGUCAGCUGUCCCUGGGACAAGGGCCAGCCUCUGAGAAAUGGCGACGAUUGAAUAAGAGAUGCACCCCUGGGCGUUUGGGGAGUUUUACUACAUAGAGAAUCAUCUUUCUCCACUUGGGAAAUUGUGAGCACUGACUACAUCUGACCCAGAGGACCUGGGAUGAGAGAUCGUGGAGCUCUAUUUACAGCUAUCGUGAACUUUGAACCUCUAGAGUGCAGAUUGGAAAGAUUGUACAGUGUUCAAAAGGCAGAGAUACAGAAGAGCAGGUACGAAAAGGUGUUGGGUGGGAGGGGGUAUGCACAGAAGCAACACCACGACAACACACAAAAACCUAAUUGCGUUCGCCGGGGGAACUGGGAUGCGCCCAGUGCCCCUCCUCUGCCAGUGCUGCCCCAGUCAGCAGCAAAACUGGCCUGGCAUAUGGCCCUGGCCUGG
This is a long non-coding RNA of Chinchilla lanigera (long-tailed chinchilla), 1108 nucleotides long. RefSeq lists it as uncharacterized. The record is from RefSeq and is a predicted model, not a curated record. Lineage: Eukaryota; Metazoa; Chordata; Mammalia; Rodentia; Chinchillidae. The transcript is spliced from 4 exons.